UGAGAGGGAAGAGGUAUGCGUCUACGAUCAGAAACUCGACUCGAUUUUAGUAAGCCCGUUUGCCUUUCUUUGUUUCCUUCCCCUUCCCUUAGGCACUAAUGGUGUGAUUUUUUGUUCACAUUAAACCAAAAAAGAAAGAAAGAAAGAAAGAAAGGGAAAACAGUGAAAACCGAGGGUGAAGAAGAUCACUACAACCAGUGGCUAUGAGGAACGACAUCGUCGUCGUCUAAACUGGGUAAGGAUACCUCAACUCCUUCCUCUCUUACAG
This 268-nucleotide long non-coding RNA is filed under the name Carica papaya (papaya). RNAcentral's name for it is "long non-coding RNA (CPAP_LNC010403)". Lineage: Eukaryota; Viridiplantae; Streptophyta; Magnoliopsida; Brassicales; Caricaceae. The record is from RNAcentral.